AGUGAACGCUGGCGGCAGGCCUAACACAUGCAAGUCGAACGGCAGCACGGCAGUAGCAAUACUGUGGGUGGCGAGUGGCGGACGGGUGAGGAAUACAUCGGGAUCUACCCUGUUGUGGGGGAUAACGUAGGGAAACUUACGCUAAUACCGCAUAAGAACUGAGGUUGAAAGCGGCGGACCGCAAGGCGUCGCGCGAUUGGAUGAACCGAUGUCCGAUUAGCUAGUUGGCGGGGUAAAGGCCCACCAAGGCGACGAUCGGUAGCUGGUCUGAGAGGACGACCAGCCACACUGGAACUGAGACACGGUCCAGACUCCUACGGGAGGCAGCAGUGGGGAAUAUUGGACAAUGGGGGCAACCCUGAUCCAGCCAUUCCGCGUGAGUGAAGAAGGCCUUCGGGUUGGUUAAAGCGUACUUUCAGCUGGAACGAAACGGU
Molecule: ribosomal RNA, 434 nt
Filed under: uncultured bacterium
Lineage: Bacteria
Description: bacterial SSU rRNA
Rfam family: Bacterial small subunit ribosomal RNA
Source: RNAcentral